Molecule: transfer RNA, 77 nt
Filed under: Kiritimatiellia bacterium
Lineage: Bacteria; Pseudomonadati; Kiritimatiellota; Kiritimatiellia
Also listed under: 1 other name
Description: Kiritimatiellae bacterium (gut metagenome) tRNA-Arg
Rfam family: tRNA
About the family: Transfer RNA (tRNA) molecules are approximately 80 nucleotides in length. Their secondary structure includes four short double-helical elements and three loops (D, anti-codon, and T loops). Further hydrogen bonds mediate the characteristic L-shaped molecular structure. tRNAs have two regions of fundamental functional importance: the anti-codon, which is responsible for specific mRNA codon recognition, and the 3' end, to which the tRNAs corresponding amino acid is attached (by aminoacyl-tRNA synthetases). tRNAs cope with the degeneracy of the genetic code in two manners: having more than one tRNA (with a specific anti-codon) for a particular amino acid; and 'wobble' base-pairing, i.e. permitting non-standard base-pairing at the 3rd anti-codon position.
Source: RNAcentral
GGGUUUGUAGCUCAAUUGGACAGAGCGACAGUUUCCUAAACUGUAGGUUCCGGGUUCGAUCCCCGGCAGACCCACCA